RNAcentral lists this long non-coding RNA (1176 nucleotides) under Androctonus crassicauda. The record is from RNAcentral. Lineage: Eukaryota; Metazoa; Arthropoda; Arachnida; Scorpiones; Buthidae.
AGAAUUAAUUAUGAUCAAUUUGCAAAUUGUUAAGAAAACUUUAUCAUAUCAUCAAUUUAAAAAUUGUCAAAGUAACAAUUUAUUCCAAUUGUGUUCAGAAAUUUUUUUUUUUGCCAGUUUUUUACUUAAUAUAUAUAUAUAUUUACCCGUUUUCUUAAUGUUAAUCAGUACUAUCAUGAUGUAAAAAAUUUAAAAGUAAUAAUUGUAUUUAAGUUAAAUAAAACAUUCUUAAGUUUAUUCAUUAUUUAUGACAUAUCAAAGGGUCCAAGUCCACCGAUAGAUUAGAUUAGAAUGUCUGUUGUGCUCGUAAUGCUUCCAUUUAUAAAGUUUAUUGUAAAAUACUUUAAGUCGCAGCAUCGUCAUCUGUGCCAAUUUGAAAAGGAAUAUUUGCUCAGCUAACGAAAGUUUCCUCUUAUUAAUCUGUUGCACAUUCUUCAAAUAUAGUCGAAACAUGAAACCGAUUAAACUUAAGCCAUCGAAUAAUUGAAAAAUAGCUGUGAAUUAAUGUUCCUUUUCUAAAAAAAAAAAAAUUUAAAAAACUGUGUGUUUUUAGUAUAACCUAGAUUCUUUUUUAUAAAAUCUUAACAAUAUGGGGAACAAAAGUCUUUAAUAACAAAAACAUUGUUGAAUAUUCUUCAGACUUUUGUUUAGAAUUGUGAGUUCAACAGUUGACUGUGAUACUUUUGACCAACUGGCAGAUUCAUAAGUACUGUAUUUAUUUGUAUAAAACUGUAAUAAUAAAUAUUAAAAUACGCUAAUCUUCAGCUUCUACCUAUGUAUUCUGUAUUUAAUAAUCUUUUAAAUCAGAAGAAGCCAAUAUAAAUUAUUCUGUAAUAAUAAUAAUAAUAAUUCUGGUCAACAAUAAUAUACUGAUUUUGGGGAAUUGUGUUUGAUGUUACAUUUUUUUAAGAGAGCAUUUUUGCCAAUAUUUUUAUUUUUGUUGUAAUGUAGUAACAAAAAUGCACUCUCCCAAGAUGUAUAGCAUUUUUAUUGUAAAAUUUAUGAUUAUGAUAUUGUUCAAUUGUGAUUGUACAGAUGAUAAAAAAAUUGUAUAUUUAUUCUUGCAAAACAAUUAUUUCUUACUUGAUCUCAGAAAUGAUGUUGGUUUCUCUACCAACUACUCUACUUCUCUGUACAAAAGGGAUUUUAAACAAUUCUUAAUUAAAGAUAUUUGAA